This 775-nucleotide ribosomal RNA is filed under the name uncultured bacterium. Its description in RNAcentral is "bacterial SSU rRNA". It matches the Rfam family "Bacterial small subunit ribosomal RNA", at positions 28 to 776 of the family's 1533-position model. The record is from RNAcentral.
GACGAACGCUGGCGGCGUGCCUAAUACAUGCAAGUCGAACGCUUUGAUUUUCACCGGAGCUUGCUCCACCGAAAAUCAAAGAGUGGCGGACGGGUGAGUAACACGUGGGCAACCUGCCCGACAGAGGGGGAUAACACUUGGAAACAGGUGCUAAUUCCGCAUAAUUUGUUUUCCCGCAUGGGAGAAUAAUAAAAGACGCUUCGGUGUCACUGUUGGAUGGGCCCGCGCUGCAUUAGUUAGUUGGUGGGGUAAUGGCCUACCAAGACCGUGAUGCAUAGCCGACCUGAGAGGGUGAUCGGCCACACUGGGACUGAGACACGGCCCAGACUCCUACGGGAGGCAGCAGUAGGGAAUCUUCGGCAAUGGACGAAAGUCUGACCGAGCAACGCCGCGUGAGUGAAGAAGGUUUUCGGAUCGUAAAACUCUGUUGUUAGAGAAGAACAAGUGGGAGAGUAACUGUUCCCUCCUUGACGGUAUCUAACCAGAAAGCCACGGCUAACUACGUGCCAGCAGCCGCGGUAAUACGUAGGUGGCAAGCGUUGUCCGGAUUUAUUGGGCGUAAAGCGAGCGCAGGCGGUUUCUUAAGUCUGAUGUGAAAGCCCUCGGCUCAACCGAGGAAGGUCAUUGGAAACUGGGGAACUUGAAUGCAGAAGAGGAGAGUGGAAUUCCAUGUGUAGCGGUGAAAUGCGUAGAUAUAUGGAGGAACACCAGUGGCGAAGGCGACUCUCUGGUCUGUAAUUGACGCUGAGGCUCGAAAGCGUGGGGAGCAAACAGG